RNAcentral lists this long non-coding RNA (471 nucleotides) under Olea europaea subsp. europaea. The record is from RNAcentral. Lineage: Eukaryota; Viridiplantae; Streptophyta; Magnoliopsida; Lamiales; Oleaceae.
AUCAGAGAUACAAGAAAUGGCACAAUUAUCGUGCCAGUUUGGAGCUCUGCAAGAAUGGCGAAAGGCAUCAAUAUUGGGCAGCUGAAUAACUGAUGGAAUGUCAUUUGUUAAUGAAGAUUUACAGGACUUCAAACUUCGAAGGACUGGAAUUUUGUGAUGCAGCCUUCAGUCAGGGAAGCAAGUAUGCAUGCAGAAAUUCUUGACGCUGAAGUCCCUAACUUAUGGGUAUUUCUAGCAACUGAGUCCUAAAUCUUAUUUUAACAGCUGGGUCCCUAUGCUUUUGAUAUUGUAACAAUUGGGUUACUAGUGGACGGUUUCUAUCCACUUAUAGUCAAAAAGUCAAUUUUUUGGUAAAAUAAAAACACAACUUUUGCUGUCAAUCAUUUUUUUGACAACACUGAAAUCUGUCAACAAAGUGGGCAAAAUCAUCUGGCAAAAUAGCAUAACUCGAACAAGAUUAAUGAAAAGUUG